Small nuclear RNA from Rattus norvegicus (Norway rat), 120 nucleotides. Ensembl annotates it as RNA, U1 small nuclear 98. Its record names the gene Rnu1-98. The record is from Ensembl. Lineage: Eukaryota; Metazoa; Chordata; Mammalia; Rodentia; Muridae.
AUACUUACCUGGCAAGGGAGAUGGCAUGAUCUCAAAGGAGUUCAAAGGCUGAGGCUUAUCUGUUGCAGUCCAAUAUGCUGAUCCCUGUGAUUUCCCCAAAGAUGGGAACUCAAAGGCAAC